Long non-coding RNA from Cyprinus carpio carpio, 783 nucleotides. Lineage: Eukaryota; Metazoa; Chordata; Actinopteri; Cypriniformes; Cyprinidae. The record is from Ensembl.
GUGGUGCCCGAUCCCGAGGCCGUUCCCGAGGCGGUGCCCGAUGUUGUUCCCGAUGCCGAGGCGGUGCCCGAUGCCGAGGCGGUGCCCGAUGCCGAGGCGGUCCCCGAUGCCGAGGCGGUGCCCGAUGCCGAGGCGGUGCCCGAGGCGGUCCCCGAUGCCGAGGCGGUGCCCGAGGCGGUUCCCGAUGCAAUGUCCGAUGCCGAGGCGGUCCCCGAUGCCGAGGCGGUGCCAGAGACGGUUCCCGAUGUAAUGCCCGAGACCGAGGCUGUGCCCGAUGCCGAGGCGGUGCCCGAUGCCGUUCCGGAGGUCGAGGCAGUGACCGAUGCCGUGCCAGAGACGGUGCCAGAGACGGUUCCCGAUGUAAUGCCCGAGACCGAGGCUGUUCCGGAGGUCGAGGCGGUGCCCGAUGUUGUUCCCGAUGCCGAGGCGGUGCCCGAUGUUGUUUCCGAUGCCGAGGCUGUUCCGGAGGUCGAGGCGGUGCCCGAUGCCGAGCCCGAGGCCGUUCCCGAGGCGGUGCCCUUGUCCAAUGCCGUUCCUGAGGCCAUUCCUGAGGCCGUUCCUGAGACCGUUCCCGAGGCGGUGCCCGAUGCCAAGGUCGUUCCCGAGGCUGUGCCCGAUGCCGAGGCCGUUCCCGAGACCGUUCCCGAGGCGGUGCCCGAUGCCGAGGUUCCCGAGGCGGUGUCCUUGUCCGAUGCCGUUCCUGAGGCCAUUCCCGAGGCGGUGCCCGAUGCUGUUCCGGAGGCCGAUGCGGGGCCCGAGAUGGUUCCGGAGGCGAUACCCGUG